This 253-nucleotide ribosomal RNA is filed under the name uncultured bacterium. Its description in RNAcentral is "partial 16S ribosomal RNA". It matches the Rfam family "Bacterial small subunit ribosomal RNA", at positions 524 to 776 of the family's 1533-position model. The record is from RNAcentral.
UACAGAGGGUGCGAGCGUUAAUCGGAAUUACUGGGCGUAAAGCGCACGUAGGCGGCUUGGUAUGUCGGGUGUGAAAUCCCCGGGCUCAACCUGGGAACUGCAUCCGAAACUGCCUUGCUCGAGUAUGGGAGAGGGAAGUGGAAUUUCCGGUGUAGCGGUGAAAUGCGUAGAUAUCGGAAGGAACAUCAGUGGCGAAGGCGGCUAUCUGGACGGUUACUGACGCUAAGACUCGAAAGCGUGGGGAUCAAACAGG